Long non-coding RNA from Cyprinus carpio carpio, 1126 nucleotides. The record is from Ensembl. Lineage: Eukaryota; Metazoa; Chordata; Actinopteri; Cypriniformes; Cyprinidae.
GAUACGGAAGUGGCUGGUGUGGUGUGGAUGUUGUGAUUUACGGGCUGCAACGGAGAAUCCAAGGAAAGGGGAGAUUGGAAGUGCGGAGGAAGUUAAGUGAUCAACCUUUUGUAUGUUGUGUUUACACCUUAUUGUGGAUUGAGUUGAAGGAGCGAUCCUAUGUUUGGAAGGCCCCUGAGUGAAGGAGAUCAUUGAAUUCGUAUUGGGAGAGGACAACACUGUGUACUGGUGGGUGAAGACUUUAUGAACAUUCCUUGUAUAUUGUGGAGAGUGGAUGACGGAUGUGGAGGGAGACUAACUGCCUUUAAGAAAGGGUUCCGACUGCAUAUUUCUCCGUAGCAGUGGGUAAUUCCCCCCCCCUCUCUUGUGUUGAUCUAAUAAUCCUCAGUGCUUGUGUGUUUACUCAGUGUUGAUAGUAGUGCCUUGCGUUGGAGAUCGCUGGGAAAGACGGAGAGACUCCGGUGUACGAUAUAUACGCCUGCUGUGGUCUGCCCCCUGCCUUCGUCCAUCUGACACGCCCCGCCAGGACUCUGAGCCCGAAACGGGAAUACACCACGGAUCUUCUUUCACUGAGUGUGUGGAGUGCGGUGAGUGCUGCUAUAUUGAAGUGUACACACGAGAAGAAUUGUAGUGCCUUUGUGGUGUGUGGUGUUUGUCCGUGGCUGUGUCCCCGGUCGUAGGAAGAGGCCUGACAGAGAGGAGCAGUGUAUUGGUGGCAACCACAGUCUUUACCUUAAGUAAGCUGGAGCUUGGACGUGUUGGAGGCGCCUCUGGAGGAGGUUGGAUGACGUCGCCCACACAGCGAUCUCUGUAAGCUUUUAAAUCAAAGCCUUACCCUUUCAUCCACGUGACGUUGUGUCAUUGGCCUUGUCAGCAACCACCGGCCUUGUGCAUGUCGUCUGUGCUGUCUCUUCGACGAGGGAAGCGAAGGACAACAGCCGAUCCUCCCCCGUGUGCCCCCUUGCCAAGCUGGGCGGGAAGCCCAGUAUUGUUUGCAGUCUCACCUGUAAGGCCCACCAGCCGUCAGUCAUCGACCAAACCCGUAUCUGCUUGGAAUACCGACCUCUGAAUAUCUUCAGUGAACCCCUGCACGUUAACAGCCCAGCCCUGUGAAUACCCACCCGUG